Non-coding RNA from Ictidomys tridecemlineatus (thirteen-lined ground squirrel), 72 nucleotides. The record is from Rfam. NCBI's taxonomy places the organism in Eukaryota, Metazoa, Chordata, Mammalia, Rodentia, Sciuridae.
UGGGCUGUGGCUCAGUGGUAGAGCACUCGCCUAGCACCUGCAAGGCCCUGGGUUCGAUCCUCAGCACCACAU